GAUAGGAUAUACAUUGAUUACAUUCACAAUGAAGUGCUUUUAAUAUCAUAAUACAUUGAUAGAAGGUUGCCUGUUGAUUGAUAAUACGUUUACUACUAUGUUUCAUACGGGCGAUUAUUUUAUAAGAAGAUACAUAAUAUAUUCUAUGAUUUAUUGAGGAAUUAAUUUUUUCAAAUAUGGAUCCCAUGCCAAUUUUUUAAUUUGCAAGCCGUGAUAAAUUUUAUUAAAAGAUUUUUGAAAUGCUUUUAAAUUGUUAAAACAAAAAUGAUUGCGUUAUGUUGGGACA
This 286-nucleotide long non-coding RNA is filed under the name Elaeis guineensis (African oil palm). RNAcentral describes it as "long non-coding RNA (EGUI_LNC067898)". The record is from RNAcentral. Lineage: Eukaryota; Viridiplantae; Streptophyta; Magnoliopsida; Arecales; Arecaceae.